This 1181-nucleotide long non-coding RNA is filed under the name Marmota monax (woodchuck). Lineage: Eukaryota; Metazoa; Chordata; Mammalia; Rodentia; Sciuridae. The record is from RNAcentral.
UUCCUCAGCGACUGCCCUCCUCAUCCUUUAAGCCAAGAGUUCUCUGCUCCAGGGACUCAGGUGACUCUGCUUUGCCUGUGUCCCCCCCACCCCCGUCUCGGGUGCCUGGAGGUUCCCCGAGAGGACGCCGGAUCACCACAGAACACAAAAAUGGUGAGUUUGCGACCAGGGCUGAAGGCACGCGUCACCACCCGCCUUGGGGCCUGGUGCCCGGGUGAGCUGGGGAGCGCAGCGGAGUCGUCGCCCUGUCCCUUGGCCUCGUGGGGUGAGUUGGGUUUUGGGUUUUUGAGGUGAGCUGCUGAGCGUGGCAGAGUCCCCGCUGGAGGGUGGCCCUGGGGCCUGUCCCCUGGUUCCCUGGGUUUGGAAGGACGGCUCAGGUCCCUGGUGUCCCCUUUGCUCCCUACUGGUGGCCCGACCCACUCUUCCCAACGUGGAGGAAGCAGGGCCACAAAUGCACCCUCCUUCUCCCAGGGGAGCUCCUCCGGAGGCUGCUGUAGGUUCCCCAAAUUGCAGGCGCCUCCUGCCUUCUAAACCCCACCUUCCCUCCAGCUCACAGCUCGGCCGGACGUUCGUUCUUCCCACUCGUUUCAAAUGGACACCGUCCGCUAAUUGUCACUUUUAAUCUAGCGAAAUGUUGGAGAGAAUAGUUCUUUUCUUUUAAUUGGGGACCCAAACUCGGGGAGCUUUAUGAGGCACAUCCCCGGCCUCCACUUUUACUGAAUUUUGAGAUCUGCACCCACUUGGUGCUGGGAGCUGGUCUCCAACCUGUGAUCCUUCUGUGACCGCUGUUUACCAGUGACGAGUCCUUGCUUCCCCGAAUGCUGAAGUAUAACACCAGAGAAGCACGCUGAGGCAAGUGUAGAGUGGAAAGUAGAGGUUUAUUAAAGGACAGCAGAAAAGACUUCUCCCCACAGGAAGAAGGGGACCCAAGAGGUGGAAUCCCUGUAAGGGGGAGGUCUUCCCUCUUUUAUAGCUAAAGUCUUCUUUCCGCUUUCCCACACUUUGUUUCUCAUUAUGUUGCAGUGAUAGAAUGCAGGUGGGAAGGUCCAAAAGGUGGGAGAUUGGUGGGCUGGAGGAGUAAUCAGGGCAGAAAAGGCCUGGGGUGGCUUUUGGAUUAUGAUUAACAGUUCCUUAGAAUAGAGUCAGGCCUUGGGGACAUUAACAUUUCAAUUGCUGCUCUG